This 57-nucleotide transfer RNA is filed under the name Marmota marmota marmota (Alpine marmot). It matches the Rfam family "tRNA", at positions 8 to 63 of the family's 71-position model. From Rfam's summary of the family: Transfer RNA (tRNA) molecules are approximately 80 nucleotides in length. Their secondary structure includes four short double-helical elements and three loops (D, anti-codon, and T loops). Lineage: Eukaryota; Metazoa; Chordata; Mammalia; Rodentia; Sciuridae. The record is from Rfam by way of RNAcentral. RNAcentral also lists the same sequence under 3 other names.
UGGCUCAGUAGUAGAGCAUUUGCCUGGCAUGCAUGAGGUCCUGGGUUUGAUCCCCAG